GAUCAUGGCUCAGGAUGAACGCUAGCUACAGGCUUAACACAUGCAAGUCGAGGGGCAGCAUGUUGGUUGCUUGCAACCAACGAUGGCGACCGGCGCACGGGUGAGUAACGCGUAUCCAACCUUCCGCAUACUCGGGAAUAGCCUUUCGAAAGAAAGAUUAAUGCCCGAUGGUUUCCCGAACCCGCAUGAGAACGGGAAUAAAGAUUCAUCGGUAUGCGAUGGGGAUGCGUCCCAUUAG
RNAcentral lists this ribosomal RNA (238 nucleotides) under uncultured bacterium. RNAcentral describes it as "partial 16S ribosomal RNA". It matches the Rfam family "Bacterial small subunit ribosomal RNA", at positions 15 to 244 of the family's 1533-position model. The record is from RNAcentral.